CCUCUGCCUUCCAAGGUGCUGGGAUUACAGGCAUGAGGCACUGCGCCAGCCUUCAACCAUGUUUUCAUUUCUUUAUUUUUGAGACAUGGUCUCCAUCUGUUGCCCAGGCUAGAGUGCAGUGAUGCAAUCAUGGCUCACUGCAGCCUCUACCUUCUGGGCACAAUUGAUCCUCCACAGCCAGCUAUGGGCAGAUCAGGCCAGCACCUCCUAAACCAGCCUGUACCUCCACUUCUCUGUGCUGAUUGUACCAUUCUGGUGGGGAAAUGUUGAUAAGGGGAGAGGCUCUGCAAGUGUGGGGAAGAGGGUAUGUGGGAAAUCUCUGUAUGAAAAAAAAAAAAAGGAUACUGAGGAGUAGGGUAACAAGCUCAUACCACAACCUGAAGGGCAGGUCAGCAAAGGAACUUUACAAUCAUCCCUGCAAAAAUAGGGGAGAGGAGCUGGUAGACAAGUCCACAGGGAUCAAAGAACAAAACAUAGAUUGGUCAUUUCAAAAUUACUUUUCUUGUGGGGCAGGAACAGAAAAACAGAACAAUAGAGAAAUAACCGAUUGGUUACAUUCCAUCAUUUGUCAGAGCACCGAUGACAUCAGAGCAGCAUGGAGCCUCUGGAAAACUCCACUGGAUACUAGUGAGAGACUAAGAGUUAAAAGAACAGGCCAGGUGUGGUGGCUCAUGCCUGUAAUCCCAGCACUUUGGGAGGCUGAGGCGGGCGGAUCCUGAGGUCAGGAGUUCGAGACCAGUUUGACCAACAUGGUGAAACCCCAUCUCUACUAAAAAUACAAAAAUUAGCCAGGCAUGGUGGCACG
Molecule: long non-coding RNA, 805 nt
Filed under: Homo sapiens (human)
Lineage: Eukaryota; Metazoa; Chordata; Mammalia; Primates; Hominidae
Description: non-protein coding lnc-CD24-3:4
Source: RNAcentral